UACACAGCAACAUCCCUGAUGCAGAUUGA
RNAcentral lists this non-coding RNA (29 nucleotides) under Macaca fascicularis (crab-eating macaque). The record is from RNAcentral. Lineage: Eukaryota; Metazoa; Chordata; Mammalia; Primates; Cercopithecidae. RNAcentral also lists the same sequence under 1 other name.